GGGGAAUAUUGGACAAUGGGCGAAAGCCUGAUCCAGCAAUACCGCGUGUGUGAAGAAGGCCUGAGGGUUGUAAAGCACUUUCAAUAGGAAGGAAUACCUAUCGGCGAAUACCCGGUAGACUGACAUUACCUAUACAAGAAGCACCGGCUAACUCCGUGCCAGCAGCCGCGGUAAUACGGAGGGUGCAAGCGUUAAUCGGAAUUACUGGGCGUAAAGCGUGCGUAGGCGGUUAUUUAAGUCAGAUGUGAAAGCCCCGGGCUUAACCUGGGAACUGCAUUUGAUACUGGAUGACUAGAGUUGAGUAGAGGAGAGUGGAAUUUCAGGUGUAGCGGUGAAAUGCGUAGAGAUCUGAAGGAACACCAGUGGCGAAGGCGGCUCUCUGGACUCAAACUGACGCUGAGGUACGAAAGCGUGGGUAGCAAACA
Molecule: ribosomal RNA, 425 nt
Filed under: uncultured Methylomonas sp.
Lineage: Bacteria; Pseudomonadati; Pseudomonadota; Gammaproteobacteria; Methylococcales; Methylococcaceae
Description: bacterial SSU rRNA
Rfam family: Bacterial small subunit ribosomal RNA
Source: RNAcentral